Molecule: non-coding RNA, 433 nt
Organism: Ochotona princeps (American pika)
Lineage: Eukaryota; Metazoa; Chordata; Mammalia; Lagomorpha; Ochotonidae
Source: the annotation of a RefSeq genome assembly
GUCAGGACACAGCAUGGACAUGAGGGCCCCUGCUCAGCUCCUGGGCUUUCUGCUGCUCUGGCUCCCAGGUGCCAAAUGUGCUGCCCAGGUAACUCAGAGUCCAUCCGAGGUGUCUGCAAAUGUGGGAGACACAGUCACUAUCAAUUGCCAGUCAAGUGAGAGUGUUUACAACAACGUCAAUGUACAAUGGUUUCAGCAGAAAUCAGGGCAACGUCCAAAGCUCCUGAUCUACUGGGCAUCCCGUUUAGCAUCUGGGAUCCCCUCAAGGUUCAAGGGCAGUGGAUCUGGGAAAUCAUUCACUCUCACCAUCAACCCGAUGCAGGCUGAGGAUGCAGGAACCUACUACUGUCAAGGGGAAUAUGGUGCUAGUGGUAGUUACACUCACACAGUGAUACAAGCCUGAACAAAAACCACCCAGGAAAGCAGAAGUAUG